This 70-nucleotide transfer RNA is filed under the name Dipodomys ordii (Ord's kangaroo rat). It matches the Rfam family "tRNA". Rfam says of the family: Transfer RNA (tRNA) molecules are approximately 80 nucleotides in length. Their secondary structure includes four short double-helical elements and three loops (D, anti-codon, and T loops). Further hydrogen bonds mediate the characteristic L-shaped molecular structure. tRNAs have two regions of fundamental functional importance: the anti-codon, which is responsible for specific mRNA codon recognition, and the 3' end, to which the tRNAs corresponding amino acid is attached (by aminoacyl-tRNA synthetases). tRNAs cope with the degeneracy of the genetic code in two manners: having more than one tRNA (with a specific anti-codon) for a particular amino acid; and 'wobble' base-pairing, i.e. permitting non-standard base-pairing at the 3rd anti-codon position. The record is from Rfam by way of RNAcentral. Lineage: Eukaryota; Metazoa; Chordata; Mammalia; Rodentia; Heteromyidae.
GGGAAUGAGGCUUAGUGGUAGAGUGCUUGCCUAGCAUGCAUGAAGCCCUGGGUUCAAUUCCUCAGCACCA